UACGUAGGGUGCGGAGCGUUGUCCGGAAUUACUGGGCGUAAAGAGCUCGUAGGCGGUUUGUCGCGUCUGCUGUGAAAUCCCGAGGCUCAACCUCGGGCCUGCAGUGGGUACGGGCAGACUAGAGUGCGGUAGGGGAGAUUGGAAUUGCCUGGUGUAGCGGUGGAAUGCGCAGAAUAUCAGGAGGAACACCGAUGGCGAAGGCAGAUCUCUGGGACCGUAACUGACGCUGAGGAGCGAAAGCGUGGGGAGCGAACAGGGA
Molecule: ribosomal RNA, 259 nt
Filed under: uncultured bacterium
Lineage: Bacteria
Description: partial 16S ribosomal RNA
Rfam family: Bacterial small subunit ribosomal RNA
Source: RNAcentral